GAUGAAGAACGUAGCGAAAUGCGAUACGUAAUGUGAAUUGCAGAAUUCAGUGAAUCAUCGAAUCUUUGAACGCACAUUGCGCCCGCCAGCACUCUGGCGGGCAAGCCUGUUCGAGCGUCAUUUCAACCAUCAAGCCCCAGGCUUGCGUUGGAGCCCUGCGGCUGCCGCAGCCUCCUAAAAGCAGUGGCGGGCUCGCUAUCACACCGAGUGCAGUAGAUUACUCUUCGCUCAGGGCGUGCAGCGGGUUCCGGCCGUGAAACCCCCUACUUUUAAAGGUUGACCUCGGAUCAGGUAGGAAUACCCGCUGAACUUAAGCAUAUCAAUAAGCGGAGGA
Molecule: unclassified non-coding RNA, 334 nt
Filed under: soil metagenome
Description: partial contains 5.8S ribosomal RNA, internal transcribed spacer 2, and large subunit ribosomal RNA
Rfam family: 5.8S ribosomal RNA (bases 1-120)
Source: RNAcentral